AAUCAUUCAAAUUUUUUUGGACUUUAUAGAAUUGCCUCAUCUCUACUCUGGAAUAUUUGGAUACAAUGUUUGGCAAGGCGGGAGUGCCGUUUGGGUAGAAGAAAGGCAGAGAAGAGUUCAUUCAACCGAAUUACUGGAUGGAAUGUAUUUAAUUAACCGAAGAAAACUAACCACGAGGAGAGUGAUUUCUUAUUGAUAAUGACUUCGUGAUUUUUAUUGUAACUGGGAUUAUUCAAAUGUUUCACUUGAUAUGCAUGCAUACCCGACUGUAAGCCUAGUAUCUAAGUAAACCGGGCAAAACUAAUGAAAGUAAUCUGUAAAUCUCGUCAAAGCCACUGAAACAAUGAAAAUUAUGCAUGUUAUCCAACAAGAAAAUCGUCCCAUUCACCAUUUUGUUGAGACAAUUGAUUUCAAUAAUUAUGGACUGGAUUUUUUGGUACCAAUUCUGUCUCCUUCACUAUCAGAAUUUGAUUUCGUUCGGAUUAACAAUCACCAAGAAUCUGUAAUUUGAAAAGUAUAUAAUUAUCUCCAGUUUUUGGGUUUUGUUUUUCUCUGAUCAUAUCUGGUUAGCUUUCUAAAUUACUAAACUUCGUGUUAAAAGCAAUUACUGUCAUUUUUGUCUUAAUAGAAAUUAUGCCGAAGUAUUCAAAUUAGUUACAAUUAUCACCCACACGAGCAUUCCCAACGCACCAGCCAAUAAAUGAUCCAAAUUGUGAAAAAUUAUAUUUUCAUUGCUCUCAUGAGGCUACAGUUCAUUGGUCUGGAAGCAAUAUUGGUUCCACCUCAUUUCACUAAAUUGAUACCCUUAGAGUUACAAUAAUACGAUAAUAAUGUCAAAUCCACCCAUCGAAUGAUCCAAGGUCACCCAAUCAUAAAUUACACGUUCCUAUUAUGCCUUCUCCAAGUUCUUGUGUGAAUGCCCUACAAAAAAGCAUCGCAAGGAUCAAAAAUCGUUCAGUUCGCAAUGCGCGUAGCACAUGCUUUAAUAAUUACACACAUAAGGACGCUGGAUAUCUUUUGAAACCUAAUAGAAGAGAAAGCAAGAGGCGCAUCCCCGAAAUCGGACCACAAAAUGAAAAUGAUACGCAUUAAGAAUCAUCACAUCCUGAUGUUUGCCCGUGUAUGUAGUUGAAGAUGGAUAUUCGUACAUGAAUCCUUGUCUGUUGUUAGUAGGCAGGUUUUUGGGUCAAGCCUCUCUUUUUCUCUACUUGGAGAAAUCGUACACCACAGAUUAAGGUUUUCUUCCACUUUUUAAUUAAGGGUAACUCCUGCUUUUGAUUUGGAGGCAAGGAUCAUUGCAUCAAUGUUUGGCCAACAACUGCAAGGACGCACGCCCGGAUAAUUUUACGGGGGAUUCUGACAGUGUAUUGGUAUUACCUACUUCUCAGAUCAUACUUAUACAGGGGCGUAGAUGGAAGAUAGUGUAGGGAUAGGUAGAUCAUUGCUGGAAGUUUUCAAAUUGUUGUGAAUUGUCGUACAUCAGUGAGGACGGCCAUAAUUGCCAAGAAAUACUAUACAUAUCAUGAGAUGAAUUUAGAUUAAGAAAGUUAGUUUGUUGCGAUGCGUUGGUGUGAUACAUUCUCCCAAAUUUAAAACAAAACAAAACUGACAAGUAUUUUUAAGGAAGUAAAUAUUAGGAAAAUCAAACGUCAAAUGUAUGCAAAUAUAAUAAAUAACAUAUAACUAUGGUAUAUAACAAAUCUGAAACUGGAAGGUUGGUGCUUCAGGAUGAACUUGAGAUGGUUUGCAGUAAAUUUAUAAAAUAUACUAAUAUACUGUUGUAUAUUAACUUUAUUUCAACGAAUAUGGUGACCUCGAAUAUUUAAAGGAAACAUAACGAUAUUUU
Hermetia illucens (black soldier fly) is the source of this 1846-nucleotide long non-coding RNA. RefSeq lists it as uncharacterized. The transcript is spliced from 3 exons. Lineage: Eukaryota; Metazoa; Arthropoda; Insecta; Diptera; Stratiomyidae. The record is from RefSeq and is a predicted model, not a curated record.